UGGGGAAUCUUGCACAAUGGGGGCAACCCUGAUGCAGCGACGCCGCGUGAGCGAUGAAGGUUUUCGAAUCGUAAAGCUCUGUCCUAUGGGAAGAUAAUGACGGUACCAUAGGAGGAAGCCCCGGCUAACUACGUGCCAGCAGCCGCGGUAAUACGUAGGGGGCGAGCGUUGUCCGGAAUUACUGGGCGUAAAGGGUUCGCAGGCGGCAUGGCAAGUCCGAUGUAAAAGGCGAAGGCUCAACCUUCGUAAGCAUCGGAAACUGUCAAGCUUGAGUGAAGGGGAGGCAAGUGGAAUUCCUAGUGUAGCGGUGGAAUGCGUAGAUAUUAGGAGGAAUACCGGUGGCGAAGGCGACUUGCUGGACUUCAACUGACGCUGAGGAACGAAAGCGUGGGUAGCAAACAGG
Molecule: ribosomal RNA, 403 nt
Filed under: Verrucomicrobiota bacterium
Lineage: Bacteria; Pseudomonadati; Verrucomicrobiota
Description: Verrucomicrobia bacterium partial 16S ribosomal RNA
Rfam family: Bacterial small subunit ribosomal RNA
Source: RNAcentral